AUUUAUGCGUUGAUGAGGAUAGUAGGUUGUACGUUACAUUUCAGAGAGAAGACCAUUUGGUGAAAGGUCUUUAUGAGCGUCCAGUUGAAUGUCACCUCGGAGCAGUUGCCGUGAAAAGAGUAGCGGGAACCGGACUGAACAUCCGUUAUGAAACUUGAGAGCCAGGUCUGUAACUAGACCUGUGUAUAAAGGUGGUACCGCGAAAAACUCCUUCGUCCUUUAC
RNAcentral lists this non-coding RNA (223 nucleotides) under Planococcus sp. (in: firmicutes). RNAcentral's name for it is "Planococcus sp. T-box sequence". It matches the Rfam family "T-box leader". From Rfam's summary of the family: Uncharged tRNA acts as the effector for transcription antitermination of genes in the T-box leader family. T-boxes are found upstream of many aminoacyl-tRNA synthetase genes and some amino acid biosynthetic genes usually in Gram-positive bacteria. The anticodon of a specific tRNA base pairs to a specifier sequence within the T-box motif, and the NCCA acceptor tail of the tRNA base pairs to a conserved bulge in the T-box antiterminator hairpin. The record is from RNAcentral. Lineage: Bacteria; Bacillati; Bacillota; Bacilli; Caryophanales; Caryophanaceae.